This 253-nucleotide ribosomal RNA is filed under the name uncultured bacterium. RNAcentral's name for it is "partial 16S ribosomal RNA". It matches the Rfam family "Bacterial small subunit ribosomal RNA", at positions 524 to 776 of the family's 1533-position model. The record is from RNAcentral.
UACAGAGGGUGCAAGCGUUGUUCGGAAUUACUGGGCGUAAAGGGCGCGUAGGCGGUCUGUUAAGUCGAACGUGAAAUCCCCGGGCUCAACCCGGGAACUGCGUCUGAUACUGGUAGGCUUGAAUCCGGGAGAGGGAUGUGGAAUUCCAGGUGUAGCGGUGAAAUGCGUAGAUAUCUGGAGGAACACCGGUGGCGAAGGCGGCAUCCUGGACCGGCAUUGACGCUGAGGCGCGAAAGCUAGGGGAGCAAACGGG